GCCCAGACUCCUACGGGAGGCAGCAGUGGGGAAUAUUGCACAAUGGGGGAAACCCUGAUGCAGCGACGCCGCGUGAGCGAUGAAGUAUUUCGGUAUGUAAAGCUCUAUCAGCAGGGAAGAAAAUGACGGUACCUGACUAAGAAGCCCCGGCUAACUACGUGCCAGCAGCCGCGGUAAUACGUAGGGGGCAAGCGUUAUCCGGAUUUACUGGGUGUAAAGGGAGCGUAGACGGCUGUGCAAGCCAGAUGUGAAAGCCCGGGGCUCAACCCCGGGACUGCAUUUGGAACUGUGUGGCUGGAGUGUCGGAGAGGCAGGCGGAAUUCCUAGUGUAGCGGUGAAAUGCGUAGAUAUUAGGAGGAACACCAGUGGCGAAGGCGGCCUGCUGGACGAUGACUGACGUUGAGGCUCGAAAGCGUGGGGAGCAAACAGGAUUAGAUACCCUUGUA
Molecule: ribosomal RNA, 446 nt
Filed under: uncultured bacterium
Lineage: Bacteria
Description: bacterial SSU rRNA
Rfam family: Bacterial small subunit ribosomal RNA
Source: RNAcentral